Non-coding RNA from Talaromyces stipitatus ATCC 10500, 104 nucleotides. The record is from the annotation of a RefSeq genome assembly. Lineage: Eukaryota; Fungi; Ascomycota; Eurotiomycetes; Eurotiales; Trichocomaceae.
GUCUCCGUGGUCCAGUGGUUACGACGUCCGGCUGUUAUUACAAUCAUAUCUCAACGAUAUGAGAGACUACCGGGAUAUCGGCGGUUCGAUCCCGCCCGGGGACG